UGGAGUAGGAAGAAGUGCACGCAUAUAAAAGAAGGUACUGCAACCGAGAGGCACAUAUGAAGACCAAACAAAGAAGCCGUGAAGGAAGAUGAAGACCAUUAUCAAACUUUACCUAUCUAUGUUUUGGUCGGGACUUACACGUGGAGGAACACACAUGGUGAUCGUCAAGAAUGGAGGGAAGUGGGAGAAAAACAUCGGAGUUUGUGAACAAAUUUUGAAAGAACAACAAAUAGGUUCAAUACUUGGUCCGAAAACUUCACUUUAUGUCUUUCUAAAUAAAUGAUAUGGCAUUCAAUAUGCACUUAGAUUAUUUUUCACAUAUCUUUGUUUAAAACUCCAUUGAGAGGGCAAGCAUGUACUAAUGGAACUCUCUUCAGUUUCUAUAUAUCAUUAUCAGAUUUCGGU
This 405-nucleotide long non-coding RNA is filed under the name Hordeum vulgare. Its description in RNAcentral is "long non-coding RNA (HVUL_LNC004485)". The record is from RNAcentral. Lineage: Eukaryota; Viridiplantae; Streptophyta; Magnoliopsida; Poales; Poaceae.